GACGAACGCUGGCGGCGUGCUUAACACAUGCAAGUCGAACGGUAAGGCCCUUCGGGGUACACGAGUGGCGAACGGGUGAGUAACACGUGGGUGAUCUGCCCUGCACUUCGGGAUAAGCCUGGGAAACUGGGUCUAAUACCGGAUAGGACCACUGCCUGCAUGGGUGGUGGUGGAAAGCUUUUGCGGUGUGGGAUGGGCCCGCGGCCUAUCAGCUUGUUGGUGGGGUGAUGGCCUACCAAGGCGACGACGGGUAGCCGGCCUGAGCGGGUGACCGGCCACACUGGGAGUGGGAUACGGCCCAGACUCCUACGGGAGGCAGCAGUGGGGAAUAUUGCACAAUGGGCGCAAGCCUGAUGCAGCGCCGCCGCGUGAGGGAUGACGGCCUUCGGGUUGUAAACCUCUUUCAGCACCGACGAAGCGCAAGUGACGGUAGGUGCAGAAGAAGGACCGGCCAACUACGUGCCAGCCGCCGCAGUAA
RNAcentral lists this ribosomal RNA (478 nucleotides) under uncultured bacterium. RNAcentral describes it as "partial 16S ribosomal RNA". It matches the Rfam family "Bacterial small subunit ribosomal RNA", at positions 28 to 523 of the family's 1533-position model. The record is from RNAcentral.